GUCCACUUACCCUCGCCAUCUUAGUGGGUGGUCCAAAUGAUUAGCCAAGCAAGGGACGUUUGCAACGUAAGCCCCGCAGCCCUCGUUUUUAGUCGGCUUUGCGAGUGUACAAUUAUGUUCACUCCGGGGCCUGAAACUCCCCAUAAUUCAAUUCGCGACGAUUGUACAAGUGGCGUCACUACAGUCCCUGGUUCAAAUCCAGGCUGUAUCACAUCUAGCCGUGAUUGGGAGACCCAUUGGGCGGCGCACAAUUGGCCCAGCGUCGUCUGGGUUUGGCCGGGGUAGGCCGUCAUUGUAAGUAAGAAUUUGUUCUUAACUGGCUUGCCAAGUUAGAUCAAUUAAAUACAUUAAUUUAAUUAAUUAAAUAAAAAUAUUAAAAAGUCCGGGAAAACCUAAAAACAGCAUCAAUGGAGAAGUCAACAUACAAGUAUUGGCAGACUGGAAACCCAGUGACAACACUCAGGUCUGCAGCUGACAUUUUCUGUUGGGAAAGAGAAAUGGCCCUGUAUUUGCCAGAAAAUGUUGCGCAUCCAUCAUCGCAGAAGAGGAAGAGUCAUACACUUCCACAAUGGCAGAAGAGGUAGAUCCAGACACAUUCAACAUGGCAGACGAAGUUCCCGGCGCCUCGGCCACUGAAGAAUGUAGGAGGCUGCUGUCUACACCGUUGCGGAAUGUUCUCACUGAGGUGCAUCUUGAGGGAACAGCGCAGUUGAAGGUUCUACAGGAGAAUCAGCUGUAUACCUGCAACAGGUAUUGAGCAUCACAGCUGUCUGAUAAAGUACUUAUGAUGGAAACAGGACUUCCAGACAAAGACAUGUUCAACAUCGUUGUUGAAUACUUGGAAUGUUAAAAGGACUGUGUUGUCUACUUUGCCAAGUGGAGGGUGAAGAUGCUGUCAUUUGAGGAUCAAGUGUUUAUGGCUCUUAUGAAGUUGCAUCACAGCUACAUCAACUUGCACCUGGCUCAACUAUUCUGUUGUAGUGCAAUCACUGUCAGCAAUGUUACCAUCACUUUCAUUCACGUGAUCCACAAGCUUUUUUUCAUUAGCAUCAUGAAGACUUCCAAGUCGGGAGAAGAACCAAACGUGCUUGCCUGCGUCUUUUCAGGGGUCCAGCGGAAACUGCAGGAUGGUCAUUGACUGUACUGACAUGGAAGUUGCUACUCCAAGUCAGAUGGAUCUGCAGAAGCCAACCUAAUCUGUGUACCAUUCAAUGCACUCCUUCUAGCUACUACUGGGUGUUGCAUCUAAUGCAGUGAUAACAUACUGCCGUGAUCUGUAUCGGACAAAGCAAUUGUCCAGAAGUCGCGGUUUGAGAAGAUUUUCAUGUCUGGAGACAUGAUUUUUGUCAGACAAAGGCUUCUUUUUUUUUUUUUUUUAUCUCCCCAAUUUCUCCCCAACUGGUAGUAGUUAGUCUUGUCUCAUCGGUGCAACUCCCGCACGGACUCGGGAGAGGCGAAGGUCGAGAGCCUUGCGUCCUCCGAAACCCAACCAAGCCGCACUGCUUCUUGACACAACGCACAUCCAACCCGGAAGCCAGCUGCACCAAUGUGUCGGAGGAAACACCGUACACCUGGCGACCUGGUCAGCGUGCGCUGCGCCCGGUCCGCCAUAGGAGUCGCUAGUGCACAAUGAGACAAGGACAUAUCCCAGCCGGCCAAACCCUCCCUAACCCGGACGACGCUGGGCCAAUUGUGCGUCGCCCCAUGGACCUCCCGGUCGCGGCCGGCUGCGACAGAGCCUGGGCUCGAACCCAGAAUCUCUGGUGGCACAGCUAGCACUGCGAUGCAGUUCUUUAGACCUCUGCACCACCCAGGAGGCCCAGACAAAGGCUUCUUAAUCCAGAGCUUGACGCGUGCAGGAAUUAUUGUGAACAUUCCUCCAUUCCUGAACCACGAAGGUUCACAGAGCGUGAGAUGCAUCUCACAAAAGACAUAGCGAGAAACGGGAUCCAUGUUGACAGGGCAAAUGCUCGAUUAAAGAUGUAAAAAUCCUGAAAUUCAUCCCACCUUAUCUGCCUUAUAGUAAUGCGCUGGUGCAGACUUGCUGUGCACUUGUUAACAUCCAAGACACACUCAUCAGAGAAGUAGCUGUUGGUUGGGAAACAAGAACAACGAGGCAUGAGGGUUUGGUGUUGAGGGACGAUUUGUCACAUUGUCGAAGGAGUGCCUCCCUCAGACCAUCCGGUGCAUGGACAUCCUGUACCAGUGUGAUGUGGUUGUGGAGACUACAGCACAUCGAGCCUGUGGACGAACAAGUCACUAUCUCAUCAAAUAUGAUACAAUAUUGUGUAAAACAUUGAAUUUGUAGAUCUCUCAAUUUUGACUGUCCCCUUUUCCACAUGUUUUAUACAUGAGACGUGAAAUGCGGAACAUCAGGCUCACCCCACGAGAAGUAUGAUCAAUGCGACCCUCAGCAAGGAGAAGUGAUGUCUCUCCCAUCCUGCAUUUACCAGAAACUGAAGCUCCACACAGCAAAGGGGGUACUGACAGGUGGUGCGAAGAAGACGCUGAUCCAGUGCCCCCCCCCCAAAAAAAAACAUUGGAAUAAAACAUCAAGAAAUGAGGUGUGGCUUGCGGAACAUCCUGCUCACCCCAUGAGAAGCAGAGCAUGAUCAACGCCACUUGCAGCAAGGAGAUCUUCUGGAAUGGAUGUACUCACUCUGGGGGUAGAGGCAGGAAUGACUGGGUUCUUCAGCAAGUAAGACAUGGGGUAAGAAAUAAUUUAAACAUCACAGAUAUAAAUUCCCAAUGUGCCCAUGAUUAAGUUAACUACAUUACUUUUAAUGUACCCUAUUCUGGGAUACUAGUGUGGUAUGUAUGUACAAUGUGGAAUAUUUUUGGACCAUUGGCUUCCCUGAAAACGGAGACUGAUAGGAGGAUCAAUAGGAGUCUGCCAGAGGUCGUCACGCUGGAUGGUGAUGGAGGUUUUGGUGGUCCCCACAACGAAGAAGCAGGUGUCCCUUCAAGUGACGUGGAGUUGACCUUGGACCAAGUGCCAGUAAGGAUGGUCUUCACGGAGGCUGUAAGGUCCCCUUGCACCAUAGGGGCAUUUGACCUCCACCAAUGCUGUGGUGCCCACCAGACCAUCUGGUGAGGCACCCAGAAUCCCAGACCCUGUGACCCAAAGCCCUGACUCCUGCACAUCCAUCCCUGUAGCCAUUUUGAAUGCCUUGAUGCCCUCCUCUUUAUCUGUGCCCCACUUUUUUUUAAAUGUAUGCAUUUUAAGAAAUGUCAUAUAAAAAUAGUUUGAUUUGAUUGAUGACUACAGCUGUAGAAUAUUUAAUAAACUGUAAAGUGCAGUUUUUCCAUACACUUUUAAAUGAUAACUUGGGAUUUUGUCACUUGACAUAUCAAUCAUACAGUGGUAAGGAUCCUAUAAAUCAAGACUGUGUGGAUGCAUGUACCUCUCCGAAUAAAUAAAUACAAAGUCUGAUGUCUAAACAAAGUCAAUUCUGAAUGUCAAUUAGUUUUGGAUUAAUUCUCAUCAAUGAUAACUCAGUUUUAGAAUGUUAUCACUAAUCGAAGUCUGGUAUCCGGGAUAAUCUGGUUAUUGAUUAUAUGAUUAGGUGUCUCUUUCCUUAUAGAAUGUUGACAGCUGUAUAGAAGAAAUUGUAUUGCUAUGAUGCUCAAACUUAUAGGUUGCAUGUUCAAAUCCAGCGAUAGAUUUUUGUUUUAAGCCUAUCCCAAACCUUAACCAUUGUGGUAAUGCCUAACCUUAAGAUUUCAGUUAAUGACUGAACUUAACCUUAAACACUUCGAAAUUUGACUUUUGAGAAACAUGGAUGAACGUCUACUCCUAACUUGAGAGUGUGAGAGCUUGUUGACUUUUUUUUGCAUGUGACUACUCAUGUUUGUUAAUAACAAAUAAACAUAAAUAAAUGUG
This is a long non-coding RNA of Salmo salar (Atlantic salmon), 3883 nucleotides long. RefSeq lists it as uncharacterized. The record is from RefSeq and is a predicted model, not a curated record. Lineage: Eukaryota; Metazoa; Chordata; Actinopteri; Salmoniformes; Salmonidae.